Molecule: long non-coding RNA, 288 nt
Filed under: Pelobates cultripes (western spadefoot toad)
Lineage: Eukaryota; Metazoa; Chordata; Amphibia; Anura; Pelobatidae
Source: RNAcentral
UCUGGCCAAUCAGAGCGUUGCCGCGGGUUACCACGGCAACGCUCUGACCGGGUCUCGCGAGACUCUUGGUCUGCAGCUCUGCACACUGCGCGGAGCUGCAGACCAGAAAGCACCACCGGACCACCAGGGAAAGAAGAAGCCACCGGACCACCAGGGAAAGAAGAAGCCACCGGACCACCAGGGAAAGAAGAAGCCACCGGACCACCAGGGAAAGAAGAAGCCACUGGACCACCAGGGAAAGAAGAAGCCACUGGACCACCAGGGAAAGCAGGUAUUUAGUACCCCCCU